RNAcentral lists this long non-coding RNA (1843 nucleotides) under Pongo abelii (Sumatran orangutan). RNAcentral describes it as "lincRNA". Lineage: Eukaryota; Metazoa; Chordata; Mammalia; Primates; Hominidae. The record is from RNAcentral.
GGCCCCAAAACAGAAAGGCAAGCUCACCACCAGAAUGUGUCUUUUCCUUAUCAAAAAGAAUUGUCGCCCCUUACAGGACAGGAGGACUCCAAUUGUGACCAAGCUGGACCAGUCUUGAGCCACAACUCAGACUUAUUUUCAUUCUCUGCUCAUUGGCCAUUAGGAACCCGAUCCUUAUGACCUGCAGUGACCUGCUGCUACCAGAACUGACUCGCUUCGAAGUGACGGAUGAAACCCAUAUGGAGAUAUUCCUGGGGUGGUUAGGCCAGUUGGAAGACAGAGUGCUUACACCUGAGAGAGGACUUGAGCAUAUCUGAACUUUUUGCACCAUUCAGGAAAGAGAAAAGGGGAAUUUUACUCAGAGUCACGUUGCUCACUGCUGUGCACUCCUGCAGGCACAUCCCAGUGGACUCUGCGCUGCAUCCCCAAAGUACAGCGUGUUUCCCGCCUCCCAUUAGAGAUCCAAUACAUAUUUUUUUGAAAGAAGAAACUGAUGGAAGAGAGGAAGCAAAAAGGAGAGGAAGGAAAGGGAUAGGAAGGAGGGGAAGAAAGGGACAGGAAGGAGGAAAAGGAAAGGGAAAGGAAGGAAAAGAAAGGAAAGGGAACUUGAAAUCCUACAAGGUCUCAAAGUCAAAUAACAUGAUUGCUGUUUUAGAGAAUUGAAGAUCCUUCCUCUUCAAGAAUCUGAAAUCUACCAUGAUCUUCGCAUGUAGCAAAACACAAUGGGAUGUGGUCAUUUAAGAGUGCUGUGAAGGCAGUGUGUGUACAUAGUCAUUUAAGAGUGCUGUGAAGGCAGUGAAAAGCAGUUGAAAUACCAUUAGUUAACAGAUUGUCCAAUGAAGUCGAUGACAACUGUGAUAAGAAAUUACUCACUAUCACAGCGUCUCCAAGAGAUGAACAGUGGAUGAUGCUUCCAAAGCACAGAUGUCCCUCUCCUCCUCAACCUUCUUUCCCCAGAAAGAUGUCAACACUGUGGAGAUUGUGCCAUGAAGACACCUGUACCCAGUUCCUGAUUUCACACCAAGCCCUUGCUGAGGAUAUAAGAAUAAUAAAAAGGGGAGCCCUGGCUCUUCCUCUCCUUUAGUGUCUUUCCUGGAAGUGGACUGCGAGAAGAGCUUCUUCAGCCACCUUCUGCCUGCAGACAAUCUCCAUGAGUUUGCUUUAGAAGAAGGCUUCAAUUUGAAGAAAGUCAAAUAAAACAAGGUCAUUGUGUUUGCAAUUGAUCCUUGGAGACAGCGACAUCUGCAAAGCUUCCAUGCCACGGUGGUUCCACCUUCACAAGUAUCCUUCAAAGGCAUCCUGCAACCACCCCAUCCAUCCAAGUACUCAGUUGUAGGAUUCAAAAGCAAAUUGCAGGGUUUGCUGCCCGGCAGAGAAGCAUAGACACAAAGCAUGAGAGAGCAAAAUCUAUGAGUUGACCAUAUUAUAAACACAAAUAGAUAUAUGCAGAAAAUAGGCAAUAAACUUAAACAAUAGGACUAUGAGUAGACAUAGCAAGUGCUGGGUAGAAAUGACAGUUUUGUGUCCUGUUAGAGCUAAGUCAGAAAGCUGGGUCGAAGUGAAUGUGAGGGAGCAAAAGGCCAUUAAAAUAUUUAAGGAGCAGCUCCAAUAUUUUUAAAACGUGAAGGAAAACUUGCAAGCAAUCUCCAGGGCUGGAGGGAGAGAAAUGCAAAGCCCCCUCAGCCUGCUCCACAAUUAUCUUUUGCAUUCCAAUAACUGACAUGCUGCUGAAUGUUAUGACUAUUUGUUUAUUGUUGACUGUUCUUGGCACUGCUCAGUGUAGCCAAAGAUUCCUUGCCUACAAUAAAGGCUUGCUCAGACAAUAAACCACGGAGAAAGAAAA